GUGCUUGCUUUGGCAACACAUAUAUUAAAAAUUGGAAUGAUGCAGAGAAGAUUAGCAUAGUCCUUGUGCAAGGAUGACAUGCAAAUUCAUGAAGUGGUCCAUAUUUUU
This 108-nucleotide small nuclear RNA is filed under the name Dasypus novemcinctus (nine-banded armadillo). The record is from RNAcentral. Lineage: Eukaryota; Metazoa; Chordata; Mammalia; Cingulata; Dasypodidae.